CCUUUUCUGCAGAUAAAAACUUUAUUUCCUUUUCUAAUUUAAAUUAACGUAUCGUUACACUUAUACAAAAUAUCUAUUACAUUUGUACACAACCUAUAAAAUAGGAACAAAUUUUAUUUCUAAAGCAAUUUUGUAAAUACGAUCUCAUAUAUUUGCUAAUUUCGUUAAUUUCUAACGAUAGUAGUAGUUAUAACAAAUCAUUUUAUUAAGAAAUCAGAUAAUUUGAGAAACUGCAAUUCUACGCUCAAGUAACCAGUACAAUUAUAUGAAAGUAUCAUUUUUAUGAACCCAUUAAUAUUAAUAUCAGUCCAGCGAUAUUAAUAUUUUAUUGAAUAAUUUCUGCAAAAAGGAAAUAUAAUACUAUUGAAGCAAUGAAGCCCUUGCAACCAAUGAAGUUGUUUUUACAUUCAAUAACAUCAUCUUUAGUCAUUGUUACUACAAUACACUACUUUUGGUAUAUUUUUCAAAAGAAUUAUGUGCCAAAAGAUCAACAAGCUGAAAUUCCUAUUCUUGUGAUGUUAAGACGUUUUAUAAAAAAGGAUAAUAGUAAAAAACCAGAUGAUACAAAUUAAUGUAUUGUUAAAUUUAAGUGUAACGUAUACUUCUAUUUAUUAUAAUAAAAAAUAAUGCUGAAGAAAUAUAUAUUCAUCAUAAUUUUCAUUCUGACAUAAGUGAUGUAAUUAUUGAAAAAGAAAUAGAUAGACAAACUAUUGACUUGGUUGUUAA
Molecule: long non-coding RNA, 726 nt
Filed under: Polistes fuscatus (common paper wasp)
Lineage: Eukaryota; Metazoa; Arthropoda; Insecta; Hymenoptera; Vespidae
Description: uncharacterized LOC122526556
Source: RNAcentral